GGAUGUAAGGUUCUCUGUCUGCGACAUUUGUCACUCCACUGAUCGCUGAGGUUGAUUCGGCUGAUCUGGCUGGGUAGGCAGGUGUCCCCUUCCUUCCUCACCACUGCAUAUGCGUCCCUCCUGAGCCUGCAUGAUCGGUAGCUGCAUGCCCAGUCAAAGAGGAAGACCAUCCCCAAAACAGGAAGACUGUUCUUGGGUCAAGGGUUUACAAGUAGCUGCACUCCCCUGCUAGAACCUCCAAACAAGCCCUCAAAAAAGUAAAAAGACAACCCCUAAAGUAGGAGAAAAUAUUUUCAAAUCACAUAUUGGGUAAGAGUCUAGUACUGA
Molecule: small nuclear RNA, 327 nt
Filed under: Castor canadensis (American beaver)
Lineage: Eukaryota; Metazoa; Chordata; Mammalia; Rodentia; Castoridae
Description: 7SK RNA (ENSCCNG00000020236.1)
Rfam family: 7SK RNA
About the family: 7SK was discovered as an abundant small nuclear RNA in the mid-70s but a possible function has only recently been suggested. Two independent studies have found that 7SK RNA binds the CDK9/cyclin T complex (known as elongation factor P-TEFb).
Source: RNAcentral